RNAcentral lists this ribosomal RNA (388 nucleotides) under Limnonectes fujianensis (Fujian large-headed frog). Its description in RNAcentral is "partial 12S ribosomal RNA". It matches the Rfam family "Bacterial small subunit ribosomal RNA", at positions 875 to 1394 of the family's 1533-position model. The record is from RNAcentral. Lineage: Eukaryota; Metazoa; Chordata; Amphibia; Anura; Dicroglossidae.
GCCCACCGUAAAAUUUAUACUUACAUCAACAAACGGCCGGGUAUUACGAGCAUAGCUUAAAACCCAAAGGACUUGACGGUGUCCCACCCAACUAGAGGAGCCUGUUCUAUAAUCUUUAACCCCCGAUAUACCCCACCCCCCCCCAACCCACUCAGCCUAUAUACCUCCGUAGAAAACUUACCAUAUGAAUCCCUUUUCAAAGUUAAAUAGUUCUUAACAAACACGUCAGGUCAAGGUGCAGCUCAUGAUGGGGAAAGCAAUGGGCUACAAGUUUCUAAAAUAGAACAUACGAAAUGCUGCAUGAAACACAGCCACGAAGGCGGAUUUAGUAGUAAAAAGCGAUCAUAGAGCCCUUUUUAAUAAGGCCCUGGGACGUGUACACACCGCC